GGCUAAUCUAUCGGUUUUCAGGGAAUUUGAUCACGGACAAUUUAACCAGUUUUGAUGCUCUUUUCCAACAUUUAAAUAUUGAUUAAAAUCAAUUUUUGAAGUUAAUGUUAAUAAUGUUUAUACAUUGAAUGCAUGGUGAAUUUUUUGUUAACUUUUUGUUUUUGCAAAGAGUAAUUUCAAACUCCCUGUAAAAAGAGGCUUAUUCGGUAAGGCUAAACAUUUUGUGCGUUUUUUACUGCCCCGCAUCCCGUAAAAAACAUUCCACAUUGAUGUUCAAUUAUUGCUAAAUAGCUCACAGAUUUUUUCUGUAGGUUAUCAACACUUAUUAUUUUAUACAUUUAGUCUAUUUUUAUUUUACUUAUAAUUAACACCGCAAAGAAACUAUCUCAUUGCACACGCGCCAUCAUCCCACCGGGAUUACCC
Molecule: unclassified non-coding RNA, 423 nt
Filed under: uncultured fungus
Lineage: Eukaryota; Fungi
Description: partial internal transcribed spacer 1
Source: RNAcentral